GUGCUGACCUCAGCAGUACAUAUCCUAAAUUGGGAAGAAACCAAGGAAGAUUAACAUGGCCUCUGUGCAAAGAUGACACUUAAAUUCCUGAGGUUUUCUGUGUUUUU
Molecule: small nuclear RNA, 107 nt
Organism: Talpa occidentalis (Iberian mole)
Lineage: Eukaryota; Metazoa; Chordata; Mammalia; Eulipotyphla; Talpidae
Source: RefSeq, a predicted model, not a curated record